AUCAGCAGUUGUCCAUUGACGUU
RNAcentral lists this microRNA (23 nucleotides) under Schmidtea mediterranea. RNAcentral describes it as "sme-miR-2149-3p". Lineage: Eukaryota; Metazoa; Platyhelminthes; Tricladida; Dugesiidae. The record is from miRBase by way of RNAcentral.